This 318-nucleotide ribosomal RNA is filed under the name Triticum aestivum (bread wheat). RNAcentral describes it as "partial small subunit ribosomal RNA". The record is from RNAcentral. Lineage: Eukaryota; Viridiplantae; Streptophyta; Magnoliopsida; Poales; Poaceae.
AUGCACAUUUCGAUCUUGCUGCCAACCAAGAGGAGAAGCAACCCCUCCAAACCAGUGGUCUACGGAUUGCAAUUCUAUAACCACUGUUUGACUGCCUACAUGUGCCACACCCUUAAAUUAUUCUCAUCUUGCAACCUGUCUGUGCCAUUCAUGUUGCUUGCUUGUGAUUUUAACCAAGAUAAGAUUCCUCCCCUCACUGGUGCUGCCCCUUACUCCUCUCCUUGUGUGAUCCAGCUUGGACGAGGAGGAGUCCUUGUUGCCGUUGUGCUCUCCCGGACCCAGAUCUUGAUGCAACUGCCGGCUAGUUUACUCAUCUAG